GACGAACGCUGGCGGCGUGCCUAAUACAUGCAAGUUGAGCGAUGAAGCUUGGUGCUUGCACCCAUUUGAAGAGCAGCGAACGGGUGAGUAACGCGUGGGGAAUCUGCCUUUGAGCGGGGGACAACAUUUGGAAACGAAUGCUAAUACCGCAUAACAACUUUAAACAUAAGUUUUAAGUUUGAAAGAUGCAAUUGCAUCACUCAAAGAUGAUCCCGCGUUGUAUUAGCUAGUUGGUGAGGUAAAGGCUCACCAAGGCGAUGAUACAUAGCCGACCUGAGAGGGUGAUCGGCCACAUUGGGACUGAGACACGGCCCAAACUCCUACGGGAGGCAGCAGUAGGGAAUCUUCGGCAAUGGACGAAAGUCUGACCGAGAAACGCCGCGUGAGUGAAGAAGGUUUUCGGAUCGUAAAACUCUGUUGGUAGAGAAGAACGUUGGUGAGAGUGGAAAGCUCAUCAAGUGACGGUAACUACCCAGAAAGGGACGGCUAACUACGUG
Molecule: ribosomal RNA, 497 nt
Filed under: uncultured bacterium
Lineage: Bacteria
Description: partial 16S ribosomal RNA
Rfam family: Bacterial small subunit ribosomal RNA
Source: RNAcentral